Molecule: ribosomal RNA, 361 nt
Filed under: uncultured bacterium
Lineage: Bacteria
Description: bacterial SSU rRNA
Rfam family: Bacterial small subunit ribosomal RNA
Source: RNAcentral
ACUAAAUAGAUACCCAGGUAGUCCACGCCCUAAACGAUGUCUACUAGUUGUUGGUGGAGUAAAAUCCAUGAGUAAACGCAGCUAAACGCGUGAAGUAGACCGCCUGGGGAGUACGGUCGCAAGAUUAAAACUCAAAGGAAUUGACGGGGCCGGCACAAGCGGUGGAUUAUGUGGAUUAAAUUACGAUGCAACGCGAAAAACCUUAACCUUGGCCGUUGACAUGCCACUAACGAAGCAGAGAUGCAUUAGGUGCCGUAACGGGAAAGUGGACACAGGUGCUGCAUGGCUGUCGUCAGCUCGUGUCGUGAGAUGUUGGGUUAAGUCCCGCAACGAGCGCAACCCUUGCCAUUAAUUGCCAUCA